GACACAGUUUACACUAACAGCCAACCUCAGUCUAAGGUCACUGAAAGAUUUUUGCACUUCAUAAGAUUGUUGUUGCUCAUGUAGCUGUUUAAGUAACUAAAGUGUCACACACCCUUUUGUGCAGACUUUGAUUAACAGAUUUUUUUUUAAGUCGUCCGUUCUGUAAUGUGAGUAAUGCGAGUAGUUACAAGAUGUAUGGACCAUUUAAGGGUUAAAUCAAGCAUGAAUAGGCAUUAUAUAAGGAUGGGCGGUUCAUGAAGAGGCAGAAGCUCAGACCUUCAUCGUGUUGCUGGUUCAACUCUCUUCAACAAUGGGGAUUUUUAAUUUUUUGCUGGAUUUUGACUUCAAGGUGCUAUUCCUCUUUAUUUUCGUUUUCAUCAUAAUAGCAGACUUCCUCAAGAACAGGAAUCCUCCAAAUUAUCCUCCAGGACCGUUUUCUCUUCCCCUUGUGUGGAAUUUUUUCAGCAUGGACAGGAAACAUCCAUACAAGUAUUUUUCAAAGCUGGCUGACAUCUACGGGAAUGUGUUCAGUGUCCGCCUCGGUAGU
This is a long non-coding RNA of Anarrhichthys ocellatus (wolf-eel), 547 nucleotides long. RefSeq lists it as uncharacterized. The transcript is spliced from 2 exons. The record is from RefSeq and is a predicted model, not a curated record. Lineage: Eukaryota; Metazoa; Chordata; Actinopteri; Perciformes; Anarhichadidae.